GACGAACGCUGGCGGCGUGCUUAACACAUGCAAGUCGAACGGAAAGGCCCUGCUUUUGUGGGGUGCUCGAGUGGCGAACGGGUGAGUAACACGUGAGUAACCUGCCCUUGACUUUGGGAUAACUUCAGGAAACUGGGGCUAAUACCGGAUAGGAGCUCCUGCUGCAUGGUGGGGGUUGGAAAGUUUCGGCGGUUGGGGAUGGACUCGCGGCUUAUCAGCUUGUUGGUGGGGUAGUGGCUUACCAAGGCUUUGACGGGUAGCCGGCCUGAGAGGGUGACCGGCCACAUUGGGACUGAGAUACGGCCCAGACUCCUACGGGAGGCAGCAGUGGGGAAUAUUGCACAAUGGGCGGAAGCCUGAUGCAGCAACGCCGCGUGCGGGAUGACGGCCUUCGGGUUGUAAACCGCUUUCGCCUGUGACGAAGCGUGAGUGACGGUAAUGGGUAAAGAAGCACCGGCUAACUACGUGCCAGCAGCCGCGGUGAUACGUAGGGUGCGAGCGUUGUCCGGAUUUAUUGGGCGUAAAGGGCUCGUAGGUGGUUGAUCGCGUCGGAAGUGUAAUCUUGGGGCUUAACCCUGAGCGUGCUUUCGAUACGGGUUGACUUGAGGAAGGUAGGGGAGAAUGGAAUUCCUGGUGGAGCGGUGGAAUGCGCAGAUAUCAGGAGGAACACCAGUGGCGAAGGCGGUUCUCUGGGCCUUUCCUGACGCUGAGGAGCGAAAGCGUGGGGAGCGAACAGGCUUAGAUACCCUGGUAGUCCACGCUGUAAACGGUGGGUACUAGGUGUGGGGUCCGUUCCACGGGUUCCGUGCCGUAGCUAACGCUUUAAGUACCCCGCCUGGGGAGUACGGCCGCAAGGCUAAAACUCAAAGGAAUUGACGGGGCCCCGCACAAGCGGCGGAGCAUGCGGAUUAAUUCGAUGCAACGCGUAGAACCUUACCUGGGUUUGACAUGGAUCGGGAGUGCUCAGAGAUGGGUGUGCCUCUUUUGGGGUCGGUUCACAGGUGGUGCAUGCCUGUCGUCAGCUCGUGUCGUGAGAUGUUGGGUUAAGUCCCGCAACGAGCGCAACCCUUGUUCACUGUUGCCAGCACGUUAUGGUGGGGACUCAGUGGAGACCGCCGGGGUCAACUCGGAGGAAGGUGGGGAUGACGUCAAGUCCUCAUGCCCCUUAUGUCCAGGGCUUCACGCAUGCUACAAUGGCUGGUACAGAGAGUGGCGAGCCUGUGAGGGUGAGCGAAUCUCGGAAAGCCGGUCUCAGUUCGGAUUGGGGUCUGCAACUCGACCUCAUGAAGUCGGAGUCGCUAGUAAUCGCAGAUCAGCAACGCUGCGGUGAAUACGUUCCCGGGGCU
Molecule: ribosomal RNA, 1346 nt
Filed under: uncultured bacterium
Lineage: Bacteria
Description: bacterial SSU rRNA
Rfam family: Bacterial small subunit ribosomal RNA
Source: RNAcentral